This 1095-nucleotide ribosomal RNA is filed under the name unidentified. RNAcentral describes it as "Pericambala sp. 1 XKJ-2022a partial large subunit ribosomal RNA". It matches the Rfam family "Eukaryotic large subunit ribosomal RNA", at positions 87 to 804 of the family's 3401-position model. The record is from RNAcentral.
CUGCGAGUGAAGAGGAGGAGCCCAGCACCGAAGCCCCCGUCUAAAUUGGCGGUGGUGCAAUGUGGUGUAAGGGAAGGUCCGUUCCGGUAGAGUGCUUGGUGUCUAAGUCCCCCUGACCGGGGCCCUGACCCAUGGAGGGUGCAAGGCCUGUGUGGCCCAGCAAACUCUGAGCUCUACUGGUCGGUUCCUUUCCCAGGAGUCGGGUUGCUUGAGAGUGCAACCUUAAGUGGGUGGUAAACUCCAUCUAAGGCUAAAUACUUGCCACGAGACCGAUAGCAAACAAGUACCGUGAGGGAAAGUUGCAAAGAACUUUGAAGAGAGAGUUCAAGAGUGCGUGAAACCGUUUGGAGGUAAACGGGUGGGACCUCGAAGGUCGAACGGAUGGGGCGGGAUUCAGCCCGUCGCCGCGGAACCCGAGUGGUGGGUGUGCGUUCUGGACUUCGGUCCAGUUUGCCCUGCGAGCUUUGGUGUUCUGCAGUGUGGCGGGUGCAUUUCCCGACUCCCCCUUCCUAGUAGGACGCCGCGACCGGUUGGAAUGUUGAACGCGGGAGACCAGGUGCAGGGCCGCUGGUAGCUGCACAGAUGCUUAUGGUCGGCGGCACUUCGGUGCUCCCCGCCGCAUCUGCUUGUCUGGCCGGGCCAUUGCGAGUUGUCUCUCACUCCAACCGAGGUUUUCGAAGCGCGUCGGCCCCCUGCAAGGGCUGUGCGCUCACUCACGUGCCCCGCACGUCGGCAGUGCUCGGGCAGACAGAGUCUACCGGGUGGUUCAGGUCUGUUGGGCGUCGAGACCCUCUGUGGUCUCCGUCUGUGCAUGACACUGAUGCCUACCGACAGUGAAGGGUGCAGGCUCCCGAGUUGGGCACCGGGGGAUCAGCGGCGAGUAGGUUGGUAUCCCACCCGACCCGUCUUGAAACACGGACCAAGGAGUCUAACACGCUUGCAAGUCUUCGGGGCCUGACAAACCCCAUGAAGGCGAAAUGAAAGUGAAGGUGAUCUUAAUCGAUUGCUGAGGCGAGAUCCUGGUGACCGCGAAUCGCCAGGCGCAUCGCCGGCCCGUCCUUGGAUCGCUUGCCGAUCGGGCGGAGCUAGAGCAUG